Molecule: non-coding RNA, 812 nt
Organism: Vicugna pacos (alpaca)
Lineage: Eukaryota; Metazoa; Chordata; Mammalia; Artiodactyla; Camelidae
Source: RefSeq, a predicted model, not a curated record
CACAUCAAAAGGAGAAAAGAUAAAAAUCACAUGAUCAUCUCAACAGAAGCAUAAAAAGCAUUUGACAAAAUUCAACAUCCAUUUAUGAUAAAAAUUCUCAACAAAGUUGGUAUAGAGGGAAUACAUCUCAACAUAAUACAGGCAAUUUAUGACAGACUCACAGCUAACAUCAUACUCAGUUGUGAAAAGUUGAAAGCUUUUCUUCUAACAUCAGGAAUAAGAUAAGGAUGCCCACUCUCACCACUUCUGUAUGACACAGUGUAGGAUGGCCCAAAUUCAGCAAUCAGAAAAGAAAAAAAAAUAAAACACAUCCAAAUUGAAAGGAAAGAAAUAAAACUGUCAGUAUUGCAGAUGGCAUAAUAGUAUAUACAGAAAACCCUAAAGUCUCCACCAAAACCUUUUAGAAGUAAUAAAUGAAUUCAGCAAAGUUGAAGAACACAAAUUAAUAUAUAUAAAUCUGUUGCAUUUCUAUGCACUAAUAGAAAACUAUAACAAAGAGAAUUCACAAAGACAACCACAUUUAUAAUUGCAUUAAAAAGAAAAAAAAUACCUAGAAAUAAAUUUAACCAAGGAGGUUAAGGACCUGUACUCUGAAAACUAGAAGACAACGAUAAUGGAAUUGAAGAUGAUAUAAAUAAAUGGAACACUAUCCUGUGUUAAUGGACUGGAAGCAUUAAUAUUGUUAAAUGUCCAUACUACACAAAGCAAUCUACAUAUUUAUGCAACAUCUGUCAAGACACCCAUGACAUUUUUCACAGAACUAGAACAAAUAAUCCUAAAAUUCUUAUGAAGCCACAUAAGACCCUGAAUAA